Molecule: ribosomal RNA, 397 nt
Filed under: Escherichia coli
Lineage: Bacteria; Pseudomonadati; Pseudomonadota; Gammaproteobacteria; Enterobacterales; Enterobacteriaceae
Description: bacterial SSU rRNA
Rfam family: Bacterial small subunit ribosomal RNA
Source: RNAcentral
GCCGGGAACUCAAAGGAGACUGCCAGUGAUAAACUGGAGGAAGGUGGGGAUGACGUCAAGUCAUCAUGGCCCUUACGACCAGGGCUACACACGUGCUACAAUGGCGCAUACAAAGAGAAGCGACCUCGCGAGAGCAAGCGGACCUCAUAAAGUGCGUCGUAGUCCGGAUUGGAGUCUGCAACUCGACUCCAUGAAGUCGGAAUCGCUAGUAAUCGUGGAUCAGAAUGCCACGGUGAAUACGUUCCCGGGCCUUGUACACACCGCCCGUCACACCAUGGGAGUGGGUUGCAAAAGAAGUAGGUAGCUUAACCUUCGGGAGGGCGCUUACCACUUUGUGAUUCAUGACUGGGGUGAAGUCGUAACAAGGUAACCGUAGGGGAACCUGCGGUUGGAUCAC